GGCGGAACACGAAACAGGUUUGGAAGCUUCUUAUGCAAUAUCUCCAAAAUUAUUUUUGUAUCCAAGUCAUUGCCUUUAGGAACAGGAAAUCAUUAGAAAUAAAAAACAUCUUAUAAAAUCAUGGGAAAUAAAUAAAUAACAAACUUCCAUUGAAAAAUUCUAGGUUAAAUUCAAUCAUGAAAUAAUUACAAAACAGUGUCAAUGUAAACAAAAUGCAAACGUAUCAAAGAUUCAACUUAUUUUUUUUGAAAAAAGCCAAGAUAAUUAUAUUAACAAUGAUGAUGGCAUAAGGUCAUUGGCUCAAUAUCAGAAAGGUUAUUCCAAUCUAUAACUCAAUUAUGCGGAACUGGUUAUUCCAAUCUCAUUUAUUGGGAAACAAAGUUAACUUAAAUAUCUACACAAUUAUGCAGAGAUUAUGACAAGUUAUUAGUAAAAAAUNNNNNNNNNNNNNNNNNGAACACUAUUAUACUUACUUGCAAGUCACACACCAAUACCAAGUUAGCCUCACAAAUAGUAGUACAAAAGUCAUACACUAACACCAAGUAUCAAAACAAUAUGAUAGUGACAUAGAAUACACACAUUACUUUCAUACCCUACUUACCCAAAUCUGUAACUAAAAACCAUGAAACAUUAUAUAUAACAGGAUUCAAAACUAAAGCCACUAUCAUUAGCAAGAGAAUAUAAUACCAAAAGUCAUAUUUCUAAGUUAUUUCUAGAUUUCUCUAAAAAAAUCCACAAAUUCACAUAACCAAAGACAAAUGAUAACCAAAGACAAAUUGGACACUGUUCUGAAAAUAGAGAUUGGUAACAUGAUAAAAAGGGGCCUGAUAAUUGGAUCCUUUAAUUUAGGGCCUAAUUGACACCUCUAAUUGUAUCAUCAUUCUACAAUAAGGAAAAAAAAUAAACAAGUUAAGAAUAUUAAAACAGAGCAUAUACACAAAUUAGACAGAGAAAGGAGUAUGAACCUCAUCCUCCUCGGUGGUCAACUUGACUAAGUGGGUAUGAUAGUCGCUCCUUGUUAUCUGGGCCACUUGAAAUUCUGCAGCUUGCUAAGAGAAAUCACACAACAAAACAACAGAUUCAAGUUAGUGAAAAAUCAAAAAAUGAAACAACAAGAAGCAAAAACCAAGAGAAUAACAAACACAUUGCAACAAAAACGAAAAAUAAAGCUAACAGAAAUCACACAACAGAUUCUAAGUUAGGGAAAAAAUAAGAACCAAAAACUCACCGUCGUAUAGGCGCUGUAGCCUAUGAACUAGACCUUCCAGCAUCAUCUCGAAUUCAUCCGGUAGUUCAUGUCUCUCAGUUACGGGCUUACAAGGGUGAUGACCCACGCUCGCAUUUUACUCCUAUUCCUGCUGAUAUGAGAGGUAAAAAUAUUUUGGAAGGAACAGAAGUAGAAGAUACGUCUGAAGAACUUGAGAAAUUUAGAGAGAAACUCUCUCAGAGUACUUUCAAUGAAGGAGAGAAGUACAAUAACAACUCUGUUUCUGCGAGUGAACCUUCCAACUUAACUAAGACAAUAUCUCAUUUAUCUCCUCCUAUUCCCGAAAAUUC
Molecule: long non-coding RNA, 1557 nt
Filed under: Trifolium pratense (red clover)
Lineage: Eukaryota; Viridiplantae; Streptophyta; Magnoliopsida; Fabales; Fabaceae
Description: long non-coding RNA (TPRA_LNC011822)
Source: RNAcentral